AGGAGGUUGGCUUAGAAGCAGCCAUCCUUGAAAGAGUGCGUAAUAGCUCACUGGUCAAGUGAUCGUGCGCCGACAAUGUAGCGGGGCUCAAGCACACCGCCGAAGCCGCGGACCCACAGCGUUUGUUCCCUUCACUGUCCCGUCUUGUGGGGGUGGUGGCAGGGGUUGUGGGUGGUAGGGGAGCGUCCUGCACCGGGGGAAGCCUGUGGGUGACUGCUGGUGGACGGUGCGGGAGUGAGAAUGCAGGCAUGAGUAGCGAUACUAGGGUGAGAAGCCCUAGCGCCGAAUGACCAAGGGUUCCAGGGCCAGGCUAGUCCGCCCUGGGUGAGUCGGGACCUAAGGCGAGGCCGACAGGCGUAGUCGAUGGAUGACGGGUUGAUAUUCCCGUACCGGCGAAGCACCGCCCAUGCUGACGCGCGGGUGCUAACCCACGCCCGGCCGCCAUAAUGGCCGCGCCUACUCCUUUCGGGGGGUGGUGUGGUUGUGGUGGUGGGGUCUGGGGACCCUCCGUGCAGGUAGGCAAGCGUGUUAACAGGGGUGACGCACAGUGGUAGCCCGGCGGACCUGAUGGCUUGGUCCGUUCAAGCGCGCAGCCCGUCCUCCAGGUAAAUCCGGGGGGCUGUCUUUGAUGACGGGGGUGAGGCGUGAUGGUGACCCCACGCUGGUGGGGGAUAGCAGGGUGAUCCUGGGGUGCCGAGAAAAGCCUCGACGCGAUGGUGCCAGCCGCCCGUACCCUAAACCGACACAGGUGGUCGGGCAGAGUAUGCCUAGGCGCACGAGUGAAUCAUGGUUAAGGAACUCGGCAAAAUGCCCCCGUAACUUCGGGAGAAGGGGGGCCCGAACCCUGAAGCCCUUUUUGCGGGCUAGGGGGGUGGGUCGCAGAGACCAGGGGGAAGCGACUGUUUACUAAAAACACAGGUCCGUGCGAAGCCGUAAGGCGAUGUAUACGGACUGACGCCUGCCCGGUGCUGGAAGGUUAAGAGGAACCAUCAACCCCCUUUAUUGUGGGGUGAAGUGGUGAAUUUAAGCCCCAGUAAACGGCGGUGGUAACUAUAACCAUCCUAAGGUAGCGAAAUUCCUUGUCGGGUAAGUUCCGACCUGCACGAAUGGCGUAACGACUUCCCCGCUGUCUCAACCAUGAGCUCGGCGAAAUUGCAGUACGAGUAAAGAUGCUCGUUUCGCGCAGAAGGACGGAAAGACCCCGGGACCUUUACUACAGCUUGGUAUUGGCGCCCGCUAUAGCUUGUGCAGGAUAGGUGGGAGACGUUGAAGCCGUUACGCCAGUAGCGGUGGAGUCGUCCUUGAAAUACCACUCUGGUUAUGGCGUGCGCCUGAACCUGGGCCCGUGAUCCGGGUUAGGGACAGUGCCUGGUGGGUAGUUUAACUGGGGCGGUUGCCUCCUAAAGUGUAACGGAGGCGCUCAAAGGUUCCCUCAGCCUGGUCGGCAACCAGGUGUUGAGUGCAAGUGCACAAGGGAGCUUGACUGUGAGACCGACGGGUCGAGCAGGUACGAAAGUAGGAACUAGUGAUCCGGCGAUCCCGUGUGGG
Molecule: ribosomal RNA, 1548 nt
Filed under: human metagenome
Description: bacterial LSU rRNA
Rfam family: Bacterial large subunit ribosomal RNA
Source: RNAcentral